This 433-nucleotide ribosomal RNA is filed under the name uncultured bacterium. RNAcentral's name for it is "partial 16S ribosomal RNA". It matches the Rfam family "Bacterial small subunit ribosomal RNA", at positions 29 to 507 of the family's 1533-position model. The record is from RNAcentral.
AACGAACGCUGCCGGCAUGCCUAACCCAUGCAAGUCGAACGAGACCUUCGGUUCUACUGGCGCACGGCUGCGUAACGCGUGGGAACCUGCCCUUCGGUUCGGAAUAACUCUCCGAAAGGGGUGCUAAUCCGGGAUCAUGUCUUCGGCGCAAAGAAUUAUCGCCUUUGGAUGGGCCCGCGUUGCAUUAGCUAGUUGGUAGGGUAAAAGCCUACCAAGGCGACGAUCCAUAGCUGGUCUGAGAGGAUGCUCAGCCACCCUGGGACUGAGACACGGCCCAGACUCCAACGGGAGGCAGCAGUAGGGAAUAUUGGACAGUGGACUAAAGCCUGAUCGAGCAAUGCCGCGUAAGUGAUGAAGGCCUUAGGGUUGUAAAGCUCUGUUACCCGGGAUGAGAAUGACAGUACCGGGAGAAGAAGCUCCGACUAACUCCGUG